Long non-coding RNA from Cyprinus carpio carpio, 2057 nucleotides. The record is from Ensembl. NCBI's taxonomy places the organism in Eukaryota, Metazoa, Chordata, Actinopteri, Cypriniformes, Cyprinidae.
GAUAAAUGUGAAUGUAAAAUGGAUUCAAUUAAUGUACUUGAAGAAACAAAUCUUUCGCUCUUUCCCUACACCCAGUGAGCUGUCUGAAGAUUCUAGUGCCUUGCAUUAUUUUUGUGUUUUUGUUUUUUGGAGUUGGGGUUGAUGUUAGACAGCGGAGAGUCUCAAGCAUGGCACUUGGUUGGAGUGCUGGUCUUUGGACUUCACAGAGGGUGAAAAUUAAUAUAUUGCAGAAAUGAGGUGCUGUUUUGGAUGAAACCGUUUCAGAUACUUUGUCAAUCUACCUUAGUGUGCAAGUAUGGAUUCUUAAAAAGGUGUGAACGGUUCUUGUGAAGGUGAAGGAUCGGCUCAGAUAGAAGUGCAGGACGAGGAAAGUUAGUAUGCAUGGGAUAGUAUGUUGUAAGUAUUUCAAAACCACCAGUAGCUUAGAUGUUUUUCCAGCACUGCUUACUUGGGUUUGACACCAUCCAGUGUCAAACCCUCUCUGGUGUGCGUAGAGAGACACGUUUUAGCAACAGAUGUGAAGGAAAGUGUAACUUCAUGAGCGAGAAAAGGACCAGAAAGGUGGGAAAAGACAGUUAGCAACCCUCACAGAUACAAGAACGCUACUCUCUGCCAACAGCACUGUUGAAGACUAAUUCUCGCUGGUUUCUCAUCAAUCCGCUUCUUUUGAACUCUCACUGCCCAUGUAAGUUCUCAAGUCACUGUACUGGCAACGGCCUUUGGUUUUAUGGCAGAUCAGUAGCUUCAUUUUAGGGGAUGUCAACUCUCUCUUUUUGUAGCAGUCAGUCAGAUCACUCUUGUAAAUGCUUUGGUUUAUUCAAAAUACUAGACCUGCAGUGUCAAACUCACUUUUAUGAAUAGAUGAAUAGUGAACAGUGCUGAUCCACCAGAAACAAAUGUACAGAUCCUUAGAGCAUUUUAUUUGGGGUACAAAAACGUAGUGGAGAUGCUCUCAUUAAAUUAACUAAUGAAAGGACGUAGAUUACAACUCGUUACAUACUGCUUAGUGUGCCGUCUGCGUGAAACGUCUGGUACAGGAACUUCACUUUAGGUCAACUGUACAGUUUAGAUUCUCAACUGGAUCUCUAUAUUUAAAAUACGAUCGUUUUACCUUUAUCUCUUGCUUUGUACACAAUGCUUUACCCGUAGACAGCUAGUUUUUACCCACUUUGCCGUUUGGUUCGUUCAAACUGUGAACACAUCAGAAGGUCUUUAACAAAGAGGUCCAACCUGCUCAGAGUUCAGACUAAUGAAAUCUGUGUAAUGCUACCUUCUGAGUGCCAUGUCCCUGUUCUAGAUAUGAUGCAAGUGUUAAUUUGCUCUCGCUUUAAGAAACAGGUCCCCCUGUUUGACUGUAGAGGGCGCUAAUGUAACUGCAGUGCAGGAUAUACAACAAAAUGAGAUUUACCUCUGACCUCUGAUGUAAAUGAUACAGCACCUUCGAAAAUGUAAAAAAAACAAAAAAAAAACAUUUUUCUUUAUCAUUCACUUUGUAUUAUUUUUUUUUAAAUGCGUUUGUAGCGUGCUGAUGUGCGUACCAGCCAUUCAGUAUCGAUAGACAUUCGGUUUGAUGAAACUUUUUUUUUUUUUUUUUUUUUGCAUGAGACUAGUUACAGAGAUUAAAAUGCACACACACUCACUCAAAAAGUAUCUUAUUGAAUGAAUCCCUCCUUACUAGUCGCUCUCCUGUGGAAAGAAAUACAACAGAACAAUGUUUACUUAAUGCUACUGACCUGUCAUUAAGUUAUUUUGUUUUGUACUGCUAUCUGAUCCGCUUGUUUUGCUGUCUUUUAAGUUUCUAGAUUUCCUCUGGCGACUUUCAUUCAGUGUUUUUUUUUUUCUCUCCAUAUGACAUUUAACAUUGUGCAAAAUGUUAAAAGAGUUACUUCAAAUGAAAACCAAACAAAAACAUGUAGGGAAUCAUCGGCAAUGUUUAACUGUAUGUUUUGCACUAAGUAUAGGAUGUUCAAGCUUCAUAUAAAACUGCGCUUUGCGCUCCAAUAAAACAGCAUUUGUUACCCUAUUUGUAAACUUAAUAAAAGUCAUUUCAAUAAAUU